This 786-nucleotide long non-coding RNA is filed under the name Homo sapiens (human). RNAcentral describes it as "HSALNT0085402". Lineage: Eukaryota; Metazoa; Chordata; Mammalia; Primates; Hominidae. The record is from RNAcentral.
UUUUUGGUGUUAUUCUGUUUCUGUUGCAAGACUACAUUUGGGUGUGUGUGAGGAAGAUAUCUUUUAGUUUAAUAUCUUAGUUCAUUUUCUGUUGUUUGUAACAGAAUACCUGACACUGGGUUAUUUAUUUAAUAAGAAAGGUAUUUCUUACAGGUGUGGAGUCUAAGAAGUCCAAGGUUGAGGAGCUGCAUCUGAUGAGAGCCUUCUUGCUGGUUGGGAUCCUCUGCAGAGUCUUGAGUUGGGCAUUAAAAACUGUAUCACAGACACAUGAAUAUUGUGUGAGUAUUUCAAAGUAAAUUUGGAUUAAAAUUCAUCAAAUUCAUGACAUACAUGGAGUUCCCUGAAGCAUUAUUUCAUAUUUCCGGAUUUUCAAAGUGACUACAUAUUCAAGCAUGUAUAUAUACAAGCAUAGGCCUCAUCUCCAAGUAUUACCACACUGAGGGUCAAGACUUCAACAUAUGGUGGAGAGCAGGAGUUCUGGAGACUGGAAAAUCCAAAACCACGGCACCAGCAUCUGGUGAAGAUCUUUUCAUGGCAAGAGAGAAAACACAUGCAUGUCAGCUCAAAUCUCUUUCUCUUUUAAUAAUGUUGCUAGUCCCAUCAUGGAGGCCCCAGCCUUAUGACCUUAUCUAAUGCUAAUUACAUCCAAAAGGCUCCACCUCCAAUCAACAUAUGAAUUUGGAAAUUAGGUUUCCAAUACGUGAAAUUUGGGAAAUGUAUUUAAACCACAAACAGCCAGUUUAAAAGAUUUUGCAUUGAAUAAUAAAAGUGAACCAACAAAUGUAU